UACGGAGGGGGCUAGCGUUGUUCGGAAUUACUGGGCGUAAAGCGCACGUAGGCGGCUUUGUAAGUUAGAGGUGAAAGCCCGGGGGCUCAACUCCGGAACUGCCUUUAAGACUGCAUCGCUAGAAUUGUGGAGAGGUAAGUGGAAUUCCGAGUGUAGAGGUGAAAUUCGUAGAUAUUCGGAAGAACACCAGUGGCGAAGGCGACUUACUGGACACAUAUUGACGCUGAGGUGCGAAAGCGUGGGGAGCAAACAGG
Molecule: ribosomal RNA, 254 nt
Filed under: uncultured bacterium
Lineage: Bacteria
Description: partial 16S ribosomal RNA
Rfam family: Bacterial small subunit ribosomal RNA
Source: RNAcentral